Molecule: ribosomal RNA, 275 nt
Filed under: uncultured bacterium
Lineage: Bacteria
Description: partial 16S ribosomal RNA
Rfam family: Bacterial small subunit ribosomal RNA
Source: RNAcentral
CCCUACGGGGCGCAGCAGUAGGGAAUCUUCCACAAUGGACGAAAGUCUGAUGGAGCAACGCCGCGUGAGUGAAGAAGGGUUUCGGCUCGUAAAGCUCUGUUGGUAGUGAAGAAAGAUAGAGGGAGUAACUGGCCUUUAUUUGACGGUAAUUACUUAGAAAGUCACGGCUAACUACGUGCCAGCAGCCGCGGUAAUACGUAGGUGGCAAGCGUUGUCCGGAUUUAUUGGGCGUAAAGCGAGUGCAGGCGGGUCAAUAAGGUUGUAGUGGAAGGCUU